CCUACGGGUGGCAGCAGUGAGGAAUAUUGGUCAAUGGACGAGAGUCUGAACCAGCCAAGUAGCGUGAAGGAUGACUGCCCUAUGGGUUGUAAACUUCUUUUAUAUGGGAAUAAAAUGUUCCACGUGUGGGAUUUUGUAUGUACCAUAUGAAUAAGGAUCGGCUAACUCCGUGCCAGCAGCCGCGGUAAUACGGAGGAGCCGAGCGUUAUCCGGAUUUAUUGGGUUUAAAGGGAGCGUAGGUGGAUGGUUAAGUCAGUUGUGAAAGUUGGCGGCUCAACCGUAAAAUUGCAGAUGAAACUGGCAGUCUUGAGUACAGUAGAGGUGGGCGGAAUUCGUGGUGUAGCAGUGAAAUGCUUAGAUAUCGCGAAGAACUCCGAUUGCGAAGGCAGUUCACUGGACUGCAACUGACACUGAGGCACGAAGGUGUGGGUAGCAAACGGGAUUAGAUACCCCAGUAGUC
RNAcentral lists this ribosomal RNA (460 nucleotides) under uncultured bacterium. RNAcentral's name for it is "partial 16S ribosomal RNA". It matches the Rfam family "Bacterial small subunit ribosomal RNA", at positions 338 to 795 of the family's 1533-position model. The record is from RNAcentral.